AAACCGUUCAGGGGUAAACCUGAGAAACCCGAAAGAUCGAAUGGGAAGAUUCAGCGUCAGCGGCGUUGGCUCGGCGGAUAGUGCGUCGUUUCGGACUUCGGUCCUGAGACGGCGUAAUCUUUCCAUGCCUUGUUCGGCGUCGUCGUCGUGCACUUCUUCCCUAGUAGAACGUCGCGACCCGUUGGGUGCCGGUCUACGGUCCGAGUGGUAGACUGUCGCGUCGCUUCGGCGCACGCGACAGACCCUCGGUCACCCGGCCGGCUGCCCGGCGGUCGAACUUAUAAGGUAUCUUGCCGCAAUCAUUUGAACUGCGUCGGGCCCGUCGCAAGCGCGGCCAGUGUCUUCUCGGAGGUACGGACCCGGUGCCGUCCCCGAGCCUGGCCAGCUGUUGGCAGACGGAGUCCUUUGACCGGCAAUACACAAAAUUGAUACCGGUCUGCGACGCUACUGCUUUGGGUACUCUCAGGACCCGUCUUGAAACACGGACCAAGGAGUCUAACAUGUGCGCGAGUCAUUGGGACUGCGAAGCCUAAAGGCGAAAUGAAAGUGAAGGUCGUACCGUAAGGUCGACAGAGGGAGGAUGGGCCGUGUCUGGGCGCGGCUCCGCACUCCCGGGGCGUCUCGUUCUCAUUGCGAGAAGAGGCGCACCCAGAGCGUACACGUUGGGACCCGAAAGAUGGUGAACUAUGCCUGGUCAGGACGAAGUCAGGGGAAACCCUGAUGGAGGUCCGUAGCGAUUCUGACGUGCAAAUCGAUCGUCGGAACUGGGUAUAGGGGCGAAAGACUAAUCGA
This 792-nucleotide ribosomal RNA is filed under the name Belonogaster nr. juncea V03. RNAcentral describes it as "eukaryotic LSU rRNA". It matches the Rfam family "Eukaryotic large subunit ribosomal RNA", at positions 402 to 938 of the family's 3401-position model. Lineage: Eukaryota; Metazoa; Arthropoda; Insecta; Hymenoptera; Vespidae. The record is from RNAcentral.